Molecule: ribosomal RNA, 268 nt
Filed under: uncultured bacterium
Lineage: Bacteria
Description: partial 16S small subunit ribosomal RNA
Rfam family: Bacterial small subunit ribosomal RNA
Source: RNAcentral
UAUUCUAUGUUGCCAGCGCGUAAUGGCGGGGACUCGUAGGAGACUGCCGGGGUCAACUCGGAGGAAGGUGGGGACGACGUCAAGUCAUCAUGCCCCUUAUAUCCAGGGCUGCAAACACGCUACAAUGGCCGGUACAAAGGGCUGCAAGCUCGUGAGAGUAAGCGAAUCCCAUAAAGCCGGUCUCAGUUCGGAUUGUAGGCUGCAACUCGCCUGCAUGAAGCUGGAGUUGCUAGUAAUCCCGGAUCAGCACGCCGGGGUGAAUACGUUC